This is a long non-coding RNA of Sebastes umbrosus (honeycomb rockfish), 188 nucleotides long. RefSeq lists it as uncharacterized. NCBI's taxonomy places the organism in Eukaryota, Metazoa, Chordata, Actinopteri, Perciformes, Sebastidae. The transcript has 2 exons. The record is from RefSeq and is a predicted model, not a curated record.
GUGUGAAUGCGUAAAUUAACAGAUUUAUUAAUUAAACGGAAUACUCAAAACUUUCAAAAUAGAACCGACAAAUAGAUUACAGUGGGUAACAUUAUGUCCUUUGGGGAUGAUGAGGCGUGUAUGACUAUUUGACCCUUCUUUCAGCUGCGUCCCCUACUCCGGCGGUGUGAAACGGACUUGAGAGCAAG